RNAcentral lists this long non-coding RNA (15097 nucleotides) under Lynx pardinus (Iberian lynx). The stretch from base 5191 to 5263 matches the Rfam family "tRNA". The record is from RNAcentral. Lineage: Eukaryota; Metazoa; Chordata; Mammalia; Carnivora; Felidae.
GGAAAAGUCCGUUUAACUUCAUUACUCGGUUAUCUGGACUGUCCAAUCCACUUAAAAUAGUCAAGUUCUAGAGCCACCACCUGUAAUGGGUGGGUCUUACAGAGACUGCUGUCCCCGUGACAUCCACAGGAAAUGGCAGAGCGCUCAACCUAGGACUUCUUUUGGUACAAAGCCCCAGAGCAAUGUUUUCAAAAUAGAUGACUUUUUAUCGCUUGACGUGCUUCCCUAGUACUCCAUGAUUUCAUCCUCCAAGCAAGAUUGCCACUAAAAAACAAUGAUCUUUUGUCCGGAUGUGAAAAGUUUACCCGGUCGCCAGCAAAGGCCCAGGAAGACGCUCUUCUUGUCAGUGACUGGUGAAAACAUUGCGCCCCCCAUCGUGGAAGGAAAACGUGAUUACAUUGGCAAAAACUCUUCAUCUUUGUGCAGGACCAUGAGUUAUUAGCUUCGUUAUUUCCAAGAAGACUUGUAAGUGAUGAUCUUUGGAAACUGAAUGGCUCAGCUGAACUGUACCUUUGAUUUCACGAGUAAAUAACAGAUCACAAUUAUAGCGUCAAUCAACACAAACUCAGCAGGCCCCACCACUCCUCAGUCAUGUAAGUCCUGAGUUAUUUCUCAAUUUGAUCCCUCCUUUACCACGUUAAGAGUCAAAAUGAGUGCUUUGUGAAUCAACAGUGAUGUACUGUGCUUCGUCCUGGAGGUCAGAAAGCAGUUUUAGGAGGGCAUAAGAAAUCUUCAUCUUUCCGUGAUUUCCCAAAUACUGGAAAUACUCUGUUGUCCAACAUACUCGAAGAGUGUGAUGUUUUAGUUAGUCAAAAAUUCUUACUAAGUAAAUGACAUCUCCACCACAAAUUCCAAACUUUCUUCAGAUUACAAGAACCAAAACCCUCAACCUCCCAGGAAAAUCAUGACUUAAUCUUGUUUCCAUGAUCGAGAAGAGCAUGGCAGGGCCCUCAGACUGUGCAGUGACAGGAACUGUUAUUAGAUGCUAGAUACACAGAUAACAGAGAGUUUAAAGUAUUAGGAAUUAAAGAGACAUUGUCAAUGUACAAAGGAACGAAGUUGGAUUUUUGUGCUUGUGUUUUAGUUCUUCCUAAGAUUUCAUUUUCAAUCUGCCGUGAAACCCUCCACGGACAGUAACUGGAGAAUCCAAAAAAGAACAAUACUCUGGUUAGCGUACAGAUUGGAAGUGCUGGGUUCUUUCUCUGUGGGAUCAGACUUCCUGUGCCUGAGUCUACUCGGAUUCUUGGCCGGGGAAGGGGUCCUGCGCUUAGCAUUCCCUUUUUGCACUGGACCAUAAAAUUUUCUAAAAGAAAAUGUUAUACCUUUCUUUCACUUUCAAGUUAGCAUUUCGACAUGAAACCUCAUGUAAGAUUAAAGAACAUACGUAGCUUCACAUACUGAGACUUUUAAGUAUUUGCGUGGAAGAAAACAAAUUUUUUUCCAUGUAAGUCACAGUUUGGUCCCCCAUAACGACUCUUGUCUCUUCAAUUCCCUUAGCCGUUGACGCUGUCCUACUUAACUAUGUACCGGCUAGUUCAGUGACACUGACUUUGCAGACACUCAGUUACUACUCACAACCAAUGAAAGAAAUUCUCUUACUGACUUGGCAAGCACAUGCAAUUCGAGUAUUAGCACAAUAUAAAAUACAAAGAUAACCUGAAGAGUAAAGUAUAAUGAAGUAUAUAUGCUUAAUUCCUAAAUGCCCGAUUUAUUUUUGCUCUAUGAAUAAGUGACGUGAUAGCACUGACCAAAUAUUUUCCUUCUCCUUUUUGGCCCGAGCUGACAGUCCCUGUCUAUAAGACGUCAACAUCCUUGUGAUGUUGUGGGAAAUACCCAGGUGCAAUUUAAUGCUUUCAGCUUGAAUAAGCUGUCUCACUCCGGAAAGAUUUCAUCUUUUAAGCAGCAGAAUAGAAUAGUUUUGAAUCAUCUCAAAGUUCCUUUCUCCAAACCGAUUGAAUUGAGCGAAGAAAAACUCUUGUGUCCUCACCAGGAAUUGUGCAAGAUUGCACGCUUGCCUUUAAACGCGCCAAAUGCCAUUGAGUGGAGCGAGUUCGCCCCCGGUGUGUAGACGAGGAUCCAUUUUUUUUUCCUAAUGAACCAUUUUCUAGACUACAUAUGUGCUUCUCUGCAGUCCCCUACAUCUUUGCCAUUAGCCAUCACCGUUUCUAUAUAAAGCUUGGAUGAUAUGCCUGCAUUUUUAUGUUUCUAAGGAGAAUUCCUUAAAGCCUGUUUACAAACAGCUCAGACUGUCUUUCAGAAGUAUAGCUUGAAGGAUGGUUGAAAUGCACAGCAGAACUGAGGUGGUUGUUUCUAUACAUCCAGCGAUGGAAGCACAUCAGCUCACGUCCCUUUAGCUUCAGCAAUCCGGUGUCACUCCUGAAAACGGUUGCUUCUGCCAGCUUGUGACUCAAAACGCCCCUCUUCCCCAUCUGAAGCUGGGGCAUUCCAACAUGGCUAAGGAUGGGCCAUUCCCUUCUAGCGCCCACCCCCCCACCAGCACCUUACGUCCAUUUCCGAGUCUCCAGCCCUGACCUGUAUCAGGCUAUGAAGUGAGCUCAGCCGUUGGGUUGUGUCUCCUCUGCUCACUCAGAGGGGCUGCACUGUCCACGGUACAGCUUUCUCUGGGCACAUAUGUCCUGUCCAGUCGCCCUCCUAGAAAUGGGCACACAGGAAGACUAGCGUGUGCCUGUGAUCAACAGUCUCAACAGGAUUACUCAUUCGACAGCGAAACUCCGCAGAAUGUGGGCGGAAUUGUAUAAAAACACAAUGAGCCAUUUAAUUUUGUUAAUUGUAGCAAUCAGGCUAGCUCGAACACAGGCUGCGCUCACAGCGGAAAGCCAAAAUGGAAGAAAUGGCAAACAGCCAUUUGCCCACAGAAAUGAGGGGUUCAGAAGCUCUCCCUUGAGUGUUUAAGGCAUCACGUUGUUUGAUCAUCCAUCUGUAGCUCUUUCUCUAGACUCCAUAAGAAAAGAAAUCAGACUUCUCUUAUAUCGCAUGCCACGGUCGAAUCCAGAAAUGGAAAACUUUAGUCGACCUGUUGUGGCCUAUGUUCUGCUCCGUGAGGGAUGGUUGGAUGUCCCUGAAAUGUCCAAUUGUUUUUGCUAAAAUAUUUUACUCACACAAAUAGUAUCCUAACCAUAAUACGUCAGAAACACUUGGCAAACUCCAAUUUUUGCUUCGGUGAUUUUUGUUACCCUUAGAUUUUCUUGCAGCUCAGUUCCCCAUAUUGACGGUAACUUACCACGAUGGGACCUUACCGUGUACCCAGUGCUGUGCUAAAGAGCUUUACCUGUGCGAUUUCACUUAAUCCACCCAACUAUCUGUGAAUUAAGUACCAUUUACAGAUGACAAAGCUUAAGCUCGGCGAUACUAAAAUUGCCAAAGGUCCCACAGCUAGGAAGCCGUGGAGCUGAGAAUUGAACGCGACUCGUAACACUUUUUAACUACUGCAGAUUUUUUGAGAGGACCAAGGAACAUUUUCCCACCCAAAUCUACUUCUGAUUUGGUAAGCCUUCAGGUGUAACAAAAUCAUGGUCUGAUGAUGAAAUUUCCCAGAGCAAGUUUCAUUUGGAAGUCAAAGAGGUCUUCCAAAAUGAAAAGUUAAAAAUAAAAAUGGUAGAUAGAUAAGUGCUAUUCUUCCAUUCUAGACAACUGUCCUCUUCCAUGGCCCUACUGUACACUUAAGGAGGAGAUAAAUAGACGCUAAGCUGAUAGUUCUUCUCUUGUAUUCUAUACAUGUCAUUCUAUGCUGUCAUCCAAGAAAGAACUAAACCCCAGUACUUACUCUGACACUCAGAGAGAGAAAGAAAGAGAGCAAGAAGGAAGGGAGGGAAAGAGGAAGAGAGGGAGGAAGGAAAGACAGAUCAACAAACCUUUGAAGUGACAUAAUUCUAUCCCAUUGCCAUAAUUUUCCUCUACAUUGUAUGCCUUGCAGUUCCCAAAAUUUGACACUAUUAUGCCAUUGGCUUGACCCAUCAUAUAAAUUGAGGAAUCUUUCCUUGGAUUGAAAGGUUAGAUGUAAAGAAUAAAGCAAAUGUUCACCCACUAUUUGUUGAGCUUAUUGUAAAAUACUUGAUGUGCCCUUUCCUUCCUCACUUUUGAUGUAACCUGUCUGAGUUCUACAGGAGGACAGUCAAAAGCCAUUCAAUGACAUUGUAUUUUAAGUCGUAAGCGAUGUUGUUGGAAUCGAUGCUAAAAAAGUAGCCAGUAAUAAACCCCAAAUUUUCUCAACGUCUUUUAUUUAUUUUGGGACAGAGAAAGACAGAGCAUGAACGGGGGAGGGGCAGAGAAAGAGGGAGACACAGAAUUGGAAACAGGCUCCAGGCUCCGAGCCAUCAGCCCAGAGCCUGACGCGGGGCUCAAACUCACGGACCGCGAGAUCGUGACCUGGCUGAAGUCGGACGCUUAACCGACUGCGCCACCCAGGCGCCCCAGAACCCCAAAUUUUCUCAAUCUUGGUGUUUAUUUUAGAAAACGAUGCAGUGAUCAAUCUGACUUUAAUGUAUGAAAAAUACAAUCUUCUCUCUUCCUACUUUGGUAAGAUUUAAGCAGAUCUUUCUGACGAUAUGUUAAAUUAGAAGUCACUAAUUUUUGUAGAAAAUCGUGUCUAAAAGAGAUCUAAGAGUUGUGUCAAUACAUUUCUUUUAUAGAUGAGACAAUCAAGGUCCAAAGAGAUCAGGUGAUUUUUGUAAUCAGGAUUCCUUCAAUUAUCUGUCCCAUAAGCAUGCUCCACAGGACGAGCAUCGCUAAGCCAAGUACAGAAGGAGUCUCACAUUCCAGCAGCUUACGCUCUGGUUGUUAGUAGCAGAAUAGGAGUCUUCUGACUUUAACUCUUUUUUUGCUCUACUGCACAGAUUCUUUGGGUAAUAUCUACAUUUCAUUCUACACCAGAGCAAUAAAGACACAUAGAUUCCUCCAUAUUAUAUGAUGUUAAGCCUCACAACAAACAACUGCCACACACAGUGACAAACAGAAGGUAACGAUAUCAACAUAAAGCUAAAUCAACAAUGGCUGACUAUCUAUAAAGAGAAAAGUGAUUUUAUAAUUGGUUUUUGUGCCUCUCCAACACUGGAUGUCUUUAAAUCAAGGUCACCGCGCAGCAAAGAGAAGUUGAAACACUUUUUUGGCACAUGGCACUUGACUCAAAACAAUCAUAUCCGAAUUCCUUUAAAGGAGAGGCAUGACGGGGGCACCGACCUGGCUCAGUCUGUGGAGCAUCUGACUCUUGAUCUCGGGGUCGUGAGUUCGAGCCUCAUGUUGGGUGUAGAGAACACUCAAGUCAAUAAAAUUUAAAGAAAAGACGCACGACAUUCGGAUGCCUCUCACAUGUCUGAAGACUUUUCUAAUAAUCUUCAGGAAACAUCCUUAGUGCACACGACAUGUUUCCAGCAAAGUAGUUUUUUAAGAAUAACAAAUUUCCAGGCCUAAAACUCGGCUAUUGCAACCUGAGAGGUUGGUCGAAAGCCCUACUUCCUGCACCCAGAAGAGCAACAUUACAUUCACGGGUCAGGACGGCCAGACUCACCUCAUUUGGAUACUCAGUGCUGGCACAGCACCCAAACUGAGUCUCUCCCCGCAAUAUGGCCAAGUGGUUGGCUUUCCACAGAUGUAAGGGGUGUAUCGUUUAAAGAUAACUAUUAACUUGCAUAACUAACUUUCUGUAAGUGAAAUAAUUCCAGUCAGGGAAUGCCUAAACCCAUUUGUUCUUUAAGGAAAGGGAAAACACAUAUUAAUUUGUAUGAGCACAGAAUAAUUCGAAGAAUUCUUUGGUGAGUCCCAUCAAGCAUCAGUAAAACAGUUGACCUCAUAAUGGUGGGAGGUCUAAGGUAGGAUUUCUAGGUUCAUGACACCAAGAGUAGUCCAUUACCGCGAUUGCUAUUUCAGCCGUUGCACCAGCCAAGAAGAGUAUAGUUACUGAUACGAUGUUUGCAGAGCAAAGAUCCUGAUAAUAAAACAGAUCAACAUCAAAACUAAUUAAUCAACUUGAUGUGCAAAUAUUACCAGUCCAGUACCAACACAAAAUGUUCUCUUGUGUUGUUAUUAAAGCCUGUCACCUAACGCUGUUAUUAGAAUUUCAGAAAAUGUAAGGUUUCGUGUUUUUAUUAUACUCCCAUCUAUCAAAUUAAGCUGGUGACCCUCUCCUCUCUCUAUGGCUUGAUUUGCAUUAAAAUGGAACUAAUCAAAUUCUUAUUUCAGUUAAGUGCUACAAAUAUUAACAAAUGGAGAUGCUGGGCGUUUGAGCUAAUUUAAUUUAACUGUUCUAGUGGCAUUCUGGUAUGGAGUUGUAUCAGAUCAACACUCUUCAUUAUUUCAAAUUAAUUCAUUUAUCAGUGAGUUCUACAACACCCUUAAGUGAGUUGGAAAUAUAGCUCAGGUUUCUCUCAUUGUGAGAAAUUCCUAUUUUGGUUACAAACCAGUAGAACACGUCUCACUCAACGUCAGCAUUUCAAUCCAUCGCGAUUCUGGAAAAGGAGCACUGGAGUUUGGGUGUGUUGGGUACUGCUGUUAACUUAGCAAUUAACCUUUGACCCGGGCUUUCUAUCCCCCUCCCCCCCCUACACCACCGUAGGUUCUUAUUCUAUUCAAAUUAGGAGCAGUAGCACUCGUCAGGUAACCAAAGGAGAUCUGUCAGCUGGUCAAAGAAUUGUCAUUUCAUAUCCUUCUUUCAAAGAAGUAAAACGUUCAACUUUCCUUAUUAAGCUCUCUAAUGUAUUGUACAUAGAAAAGGAAGUGGAUCGCUGGAAUACGUUUUGAAGUCUGGGGUGAAACAUUUCCCUUGGUGUGAAUCAGAGGCUCUCGGUGCCCCGUGAAGACGACUAAAUCUCUCGCGCUACGAGAAAAGGGAAGGGGGCGAGCCAGUCACAGAAAUGUGAGCCUCGACUGUCACAAAGGUGUAUAUUGCUGAUGGUAUCGAUUCCCUUCUUUUUUUUACAGAAACAUCUUGGAACUUGUCAAGCUUUACCGAAGGUGAUUUGCGUUAGGUAAUGCAACAGACCCUUUAAUCUUGCAAACUCUUGACUUGUAAUGUUGUAGCCAAGCAAGGGGAAAUUAAUCAGUUAGUCGGAGAGAGCACUUCCUGCCGUGCUGUGCCCAGGCCUGAAGAGAAAGAACUCUGUGAAAGUAGGAGCACUAAGGGAUUCGUGCUACCUGCUUCCUCAUCAUUCAUGCUAUGAAUAUUCAUCCGCUUCAUUUGUUUUUUCCAGGAAGCGCUGCUUUGAAAGAAAGAAAUUAAGAAAGAUGGUAAAGGAAAAAAGUCAAUGGAUUCCUGGGGCUUGUGUAGCUCGGAGAAUAGGUACUGGGUCACAGAGACUCGUGUUCAAUGGAUACAAAUCUACAUGUGUUUGGAAAUGAAAAAAAAAAAUGUCAUUGUCACCUCUUUAAUGAUUGACCUGAGUACAGUGGCCGCCCUUCAUUUGUUGAGGCUACUGUUGUCAGCAGUGUGAAAACCAAUUUCUAAAAAUUGAACCUGUAAUUCAGGUUCGGAGGUAAAAAUCUGCACGGAUGGAACUAUUCAGUAACUUGGUUCCUGCCUGACCUGGCAAGUUUCAGACCGAGGCGACUGUGGGGAAUUGUCUCUCCUGCUCCUUCUGAGACCCUGCAACGUCUCGGUUACAAGCUAGAAGAUCGUCAAUUUGAGAUUCUUGAUUGCCUAAGUGUUUGCUUCAAAGUAAACAGGUAAUCUCGCCAUUAAAAAAUCACGGUUCUUUCCCACUUGCUUCUCUGUUUUCCAAGAAAGGUUUGAGCUGUAACGGAAGAAUGAAUGUACCUCAGAUGGUAGUUCCAGAGUCUGCAAGAGUCGGGCAUCCGUCUGUUCUUAUAAAGUUUCUGUCUGACCUUUUGGUAGAGCAGUUUUAGGAAUGAACCCCAGAUGAAUGAGUGAAAGCCAUCAGAUUUAUCUGAUAAGCACCCGAACGGAAACAUUUUUAAAAAAAGAAGCAAGGAUCCUUUUUCUUGUGUUUCAAGGAUGUUUCUCCUUCCUGAGCGAUCAUCUUGGUGACUAUCUCCAAGAUGUACCAAGAGCUACUGAACGAUAGUUUCAGUUAUGGGCUCCAGUAUCGUGCUGAACACGAUGACAAAAGUCAUUUUUCAGAACUAGCUCUUGGCUCAAGCACUGACAUUUAAUGGCAAAAACUGGCCUACCACCGUGUGACUUAUUUUCAAUUGCAAGGCAGUGGAAACUAGUACGUGAAAGAAAAUGUUAAUUUCCUGAACUCCAAAGCCAAAACGGGCAACAAAGCAACUCUGAAACCUACAAUGAGUUGGUUGACCGUGGGGAACCCGGGAGCAAUAAACAUUCCUCUUAAGCAAGGCUCACGAGUGAGACUGGCUAUAAGCUGUGUUGGGACAGAAGGUGAUUGAAGACGACGCCUACCAGUGGCUCAUGAGGAAUAUUUGCCUUUUUAGAGAGCGGAGGUUCAAGGUAGCCCCCUGCUGUUCCAUAACUAUGACGAUAGAUACAUCCAUAUAUGAAGGGCCAAGGCAGAAGACAGAGAAGAUGCCAGGGGCUUCAUGUCUGAGACUAACUCUGUCUCUAAGGGAACAGCUCUCCUUGGUCAUUGGCCCCUAUGCUGCUAACUAGCUCUGCAUGCCAAGAGCUUCUGAUGGAUUACAAGAUGAGAUAUUCAAAGGUAUUGUAAGUACUCUUGCUCGUAGAACACGAACCAUUGAAUUAUCCCUCAUUUCAACAGCAACGAGAUUCAGGGUUACUAUGGCCUUACUCAUCAUCCCAUUGUAAAUACGUCAUGACGUCACGAGAGCCUCCGUGUUCAAAUUCACUAAAACAGGUUUCCACGUUCCAAGUCUGUGUCUCUAUCCGCAAAUUGGAAACAUAACUUUGGGAGAAUGAUUUUCAGAAUAACAGAAGUGAAAAGAGAGUGGACAGUGAAGCAAUUUCUCACCAUACACGAAACCACUUAGAGUACUGAUAGCCCUAAAGCUCUGAUUUUUUUUUCUCAUGACUAAGUUUCCUUUAACUUAGGGGCUUUCAACAUCUGAAUUUUCCGGAUGAUUACUGACACAUCUUCACCAAACUGAAGCAGACACAAUGGCAUUGUUAAAAAAUAAAGACUGCCCACAUGAAUGCCAAUAUCCCAAUGAAAAGCGAAGAAGGAGGUCACUCAAGGAGUAAAUUUGGUCUUGGUGAGGUCAAACAUUUGGCUGCUUGGGAAAAUCCAGAUGUUUGAAUGAUACGGUUUUUCAUCUGGUAGUCUGGUGUUGUCUCGAUAGAAAAUGCUCAGGUGUUGUAGGUAAUGAAAUUUAACUUUCUUGUUGCAGUAAUCUGUUGCUGGUGAUAUUCUGCUGCUAACAAUCUCUUUGUUGUGCAAAGAGGAAUAAAUAAUGCAGAGCAAAUGCUAUUUGAUUUUUUUAUUUACUUUUGGCACACCCAAGAGUGGAAGAGGUUUGGGAGGCUGUCCUGGGGGGGGGGGGGUAUUCCGAUGUGAUUGAGGCACAGACCUCCCUCACCGAGCCGGUUCUGGAGGCCUGCCACUCGGCUCCUUCCUGCCGAGGAAACUUUUUAUCCAGCUCUUUUCCAUCCUUUUAUACUUGCCCCUCUGCUCUUCAUGUAGGUCUUAAUCGCUCACAAAGUCUACUUGACAGCAGAGUUCAAGGGAAAUACAGAGUCGUUAACUUUUCAUUCUUCAAGUAGGAAGUUUCCAUUGCAAGGACUUCUUAGAUCUUUGAAGCAGAAAAAUCAUUUAAACUACUCAAUGCAGUUAUUUCGUGGUGCAUGUUGCGGUGUGGACAGAAGUAAAAGCUAUUUUUCCCAAAUUAUACAAAAUGCAUACUUGGUUUGGUUUAUUGAUGUCGUUCUGAUUGCCAAGGACUGACUGGUUAUACGCAGUGGAAGAGUAGUGUUGUCUUUGUAGUCCCAGAAAACGGAAAAAAAGAGAAAAUGUCAAAGGAAAGUUCACUCUCCAGAAAGAAAGUUUGAGAUAGUCGUAUGACUCUUGUGUUUGUGACUAAUUAGGGACGUUUCCUUCCUUGUUUCCUCUGACUUGGCUCUGGACUAGUGAGUGUGUGUAUUUCAUCAAAUUGGGUGCUUACCUCAUUUUCUAUUCUGAGGCUGGACAGGAAAACAGGCAAGUUAUUCCGACCGAUUUUCUCUUCCGUGAGUUUAAGUUGCGGAACUCGUUCCGAGGCACUGACCGUAAGCAGGCACACAGAGCGCGAUCGAAAGGUCACGAGAGCAUUUCCAGAGAAAAAUCUAAAUGUUUUGUACAUUCUUAGCGUUUGAUUGCGUCAAAUGCUACCUUUCAGCGCCAACUUAGAACGACUUCGUGGGGUAGGCAUUGCCCAUGUCCUUGUUGGGUCCCUCCUCCCGUCACAUGCAGACGUUUCCGAAAUCAAUUGGAUGCUCCACCUUGUGUAGCAAGGGCCUCCGGCCACUGGGUGUCGCUGCUCUGUGCUGACUGUGUUUUGAAAACGCUCCUUCGGAUGGCUGACCCGGUUUGCUAGCCCCCCACCUGUGAAAGCCCUCGGGACCACCGCGCCGCCACUUCCUGUCGCAGGUGUACAAACCAACCCGGUUUGGCUUUGCUUUUCUUUUUCCUUGAGAUUUUUGACUUCACCAGAUCUUUUCCCAAAUCUUUUUACUUUCAUGUUAUCGACAGGAUAUUUAGUUCAGUGUUUCAGUCAACCGGCAACCAAGAGGCGACAAUCCGUGGGCAACUACAGAAAUUUUAGGUGUUUUGGUUUGUUUUGUUUUCAGUUAUCUUUUAUUAUGUAAUAAUUGAAUGGAAUUUGUGGUUUGGUAGAAAACUAAAAGUCCCUGAGUUGAAUAUAACGGCUGUUGUAAUUAUACUUAAAUAUAUUCUACGACACAGUAUCCUUUCACACUAUGAAGUAUACUCCUUUCUGGAGACAAGAAGAUGGAAGGGCCAUGGUCCAGCGGUGGAAACACACACAGGGGCCUAGCAUCUGCGCCCCUUGAGUCCUCAUUCCUGGUCGGUCCCUUCAGCCUCAGAAACUCGCCCUCAGCCUCCUUUUUCCCAUAUGUAAACGAGAGAUAAUCUUUAUCUACCUACCUCAUAGUGAUUUUGUGAAGAUGCGUUAAGUUGGUAAAGCGCGUCGGCACUUGAGUAGCGGUGUUAGCGCAAAGGAGGCCUGUGCGCAGCCCUGAAAUAGGCUACAGGAGGGGGAAGUGGAGGCAGCUUAGUAACACGACAGCAAUAAAUCACCAAGCAGAGAGUACGAGUAUUUGUGAUCACUUAGCAGAAGUGGAACUUUUUCUUCAAAGGUCUAUGUAGAACUUUUUUUUUUAAUUACCAGCUUUUUAAUGACAAAAAUUAAUUCCUUUCAUACAAACAUUGAGAAGCUUCGUACGGAAGGACGAUUUCCCUCGUAGCCAAGCUGAAUUUUAUGAAAUAGUUAUUAAAUAUAUCUGGAAGACUGGGCUCCUUCUGAUGCCUAAAGAGUUUGCACGCCUGAUCCCCAAACUACAUUUUCCAGAAUGCCUGCCUGAUACCUGAGUUCAGGACUCACGAUUGCCAAGUGGUGUUCUGGAACCCACUACCAGGAGGGAAAAUUUUUAAUCGAUAUUGAGAUUAGAUUUUGUGUUGUUUCCGGUGAAGUUCUUUUUUGACUCUUAGAUGACACAUCCCUCCCUUUACUACCCAAUAAAAGAAUGUAAAGCCUUAUUUAUGCCUGGAACUUCUGAAUUGGUUUCUUUUCAGAUUAUAAAUACAUUUUAAGAUUUUCUAAGAAGUGUUUACACAAGGGCUUCAGCUAUAUAUUGAUAUACAUGUAUCCUCAUACAUGCAUAGAUCUGAGUAUUCAACUAUAGGACACAGGAGAUGGUGGGGAAACAACCAUAGAGAACAUCCUGUACAACUUCCCCCAAAAGUCACAUGCUUUUUCUUACUUAAAUAUUUAGUCCGGAUAGGAACUAGUGCUAAAUCACAUAAUUUGGGGUUAUAAAUAUUUAUCAUUUUUCAGUCGUGGCGGUAAUAUUGUAACGUAGGAAUAUACCCAUUAAACUAUACUAACAAUUCAGAUAAUGUCUUAAUGCUGUGACUUCACAAGGAAAAGUUGUGUACAUAAAUACUGUCAUUGUGCCCUUAGUUAAUAAUUAUAUUCCUUUGCAAAAAAAAAAAAAAUGCAUGCUCUUAAAAACACAAAAUAAGGUUUCAGAAAGUUUAUCUUGAUAAAUGGGUUUAAAAUCAUGUUGUGCCUAGAACUACAUAAAGGACACAUUCAACAUAAUCUCUUCUGGAUUCUACAAUCUAGUUGCCAGUGGUAUAGCUUAAAAUUUCACAUUGGUUAUACAUUUCUAAUGCAUGGUAUUAAGCUUUCUGGAGCAUGAAUUUAACCUAGGCAAUUGCCUGAUCCAUUAAAAAAACAUGUUUAUGUUGCCAUGCCAGACUUAAGACAAAUACUUUUUUUUAGACUCAAAAUAUGAGUAUAGUAAGCGAGUCAAAAUGAUUUGGACUUCUCUGACUUUUUUCCCCCGAGUUCCACGCAUCAAUAUUUUUCAAACCCAAAGUGCAUCAGAAUAUCCUUGUUUCUGAAGGGAAAUAUCCAUAUCGUUUGUUUUUGUGCAAGAAAACUGAAGUUAACGGGACUGGAUUCAGGGACAUGCAAAUAAGAUACGGUGUGGCACGUUCUAGGGGGGCUGGCCAGGAUGAGGGGGGCGCUGGGAGAGAAGGCAUCACUGGCAGGCUUACCACCAAGGUACAAAACAGAAUCUAAACGUAGUAGCUGGACAACUCUUUGAAGUGAUGGAAAUGAAAUUCCUCACCAAAGAGAUGAACACACAGGUGGAACAACAUGUUAUUAGACAGAAGCUAUGCAUCUAAUUCCGGGGAAAACGAAGUUUGAACCUCCCCUACUUCACUCUUAAGGCUUUCCAGCCCACAUGGAAGGCGCUAGAGUCUUCCCCAAAAUAGAAGACUUUUUUAGAGAACUACUUUUUAGCAAAGAUGCAUGUGAUUGUACCGCCGUGGACCAGCCAUUAUGUAAUUAUCACAUAUGUGAUGCUUUGUAAAUGUAGUUGUCAACUCUUACGGUCACUUCCAGUAAAUUCUGUCCCAUAAACAUGUGGCAGAAAAUUCUCUUGCUCCAAAGGAAUGCCUGCCAACUUGCUUACAUCCAGUCUUACCCCUCGCAUCUUACUAUCGCAAAACUUUCAUAUCCAGAUGGUAUGGGACGGUUGAAAAAUGAAGCUUUCGGUAAAUUGCUUAUUGAAGGUCUCACCUGAAGCUUCUCUUCAGUGAAGGGGGCAGGAGGAGCGGGGAACCUGGGUGAGAAUCUUGUCUCUAUUAAAUUGUCUCUGCUUUUCUUCUCAGUUACCAGACAGCUUGGUAGCCUGGAGAGCAAGAUGAUAGGGAAACGUGCACAUUAGGUUUUUCCCAUUCUCAGAGCAAGGAGGGCAGCCAGGAAGCCAGAGGUUCCCACGCCUUUGAAACCAAAUAGUACAUUGAAUUUAGGGCUAAGACAAAAAAGAAAAAAAAAAUGUUGUAGAGUAUGAGCGACAUCAUCCUUCCUACCGGUUCUUUUCUCAGUUUCUACUGAAUUCUUUUUUACGGUUUAGACCAGAGGUUUCUAAUAAUGAUCACUGAUGCCAUUUUAUGUUAUAAAUUCCACGCAGAAAUGGUGAAAGCAUGAGUUACCCACAAAAUUACCGGGAAUACUGACUUUGUCUGAAACUGACACCCUCCCUAGCAAACUAGAAACAAAUACAACUUAGUAUUCUGGUGUCACUACGAACAUCUAGUAAAAAAAUAAAAAGUAAACAAAAGGAGCGUUUUGCUCAGCAUUAAACCAUCGCACAACAUAAACCCGCUUCCAAAUGGCAAGGAUUUUUACUACUGACAUUCGUCCUUCCUUCUGCAUUAUUUUCAGUAACUAAUUUUCACAUCUAACUACCUCAGCUACUGUCCUUUCAUUUAGAAACAUGAAACCAUGCACUUUGUAACCAACAGGUUUUUCAUUUCAAAUUUCAAAAGGAUACUUGGUGCAAAGCAAUUUUCCAAAAUUUAUAUAUGACGGAAGAAACCCACCCUCAGCAGCUUAUCCUUAACUCUGUUUGUUUGUUUCUGAGUUGGAUUGGGGUAAAAAAAAAAAAAAAAAAAAAGAAAGAAAGAAAGAAAGAAAAAGAAAAAAUUCGUUUCCACUUAAUACCAAGAAAAGCUGCUCUAUAUUUGCUUGAUUUGCCUUAAGUAUUUUGUGCUCCUUUCCCUGUUCAAUUUUUUUUGUUUGUUUGUGUUAAAGCGAUCUCUGAAAAGAAAAUGUAACAGGUGGCAGACGAGCAUCAACUAAGAGAAGGGACCAAUCAUUUCUCAGUUCCCUGUCGUCAACUCUGCAUGACAUUCUGAUUGUGCAAAAUUGCCAUUCCUGUGUUUCUCUCUCCCAUGACCACUAGAGAAAUAAGGUCCGAGAGACCCCACGUGUGUGUUUAGGGAACGGUGUAGACAUUUCCCCCAGGACGAGCACAGUGCCUGGACCCGAAUGAUAACCUUGGCGGUUCUUGGGCUUUUACUUUGUAAACAUUGUACAAAUGUAUUUGGAAUCUUAUUUGAAAUGAAGAGUUAAACUAGUUACGAAAUUCUUUUCCUUCCUGUAAAUAUAUAUAUUCAAACUCCAUGUAUCCAAACAUUCCUUUAGCGUUCGGAUUGUAAGAGUGUCUUUAUUGGCUGGAGGCCGCCGUCUCGGGCCGCGGUCCCACGUGCUCUAGUGGAAAGCACAGUGUGUGGUGUAUUUGAUGUACUAUAAUACCAUAGUUAUUUUGGUCUGUUAAGUAAGUUGCAAUUUGUGAUGAAAUGAAGUGGAAAGUAGUGCUUCAUAACGAGCAAAUUUCCUCGGUUACAUGAUUUUUUCUUGUAAAACUUAAAAAAAAAGAAAACUUGAAAUUUUAUAUAUUUGGAUUUUGUAGAUUUUUUUUUUUUAUUUUAUUGCAACACAAGGUACCAAAAUCAUUAAAUAAAGUACACUGUGGUCAUUUUAACAGAAGUCUGAGUUCCUGAUUCUUUCUAAGGGCACGAAGAGAGCAGUCGUUGUGGGUCUGAGAAGGGAAGGUGGCAGAAGGCCAUAUUCUCAGGCAUAGUCUCGAGACAAAGUGAUUGAAACCUGAAAGUAAACGAAGCUGAAUUCUGUCAAAUCU